This 859-nucleotide long non-coding RNA is filed under the name Mytilus galloprovincialis (Mediterranean mussel). Lineage: Eukaryota; Metazoa; Mollusca; Bivalvia; Mytilida; Mytilidae. The record is from RNAcentral.
UCCUUUCUCAAGAGGAAAAAGAGGGAAACCAGAAAAUAUGAAUACUUUCGGAGGAAACCCGCAGUUUGGAUUUACAAGUCAGGAUUAUCAGAAAUAGUUAGGACUAUAUAUCAGAUAAGCCUACACUGGCCAAAUAUCAGAGUAUUUUUGUGUAGAUUGGGAUUUUUUAUAAUGUAGUUAUGAAACUUGUGUGAUUUUUUUUGUUAUUGAUAAAAUGUAAAAAGAGAUUUAUUGUUUUUUGAGAAGAGUAUACAGUAUUAUAGAUUUUUGAAAGUAUAUUGUGGUAUUGAAAUUGUUUUGAGAUUUUUAGAAAACAGGUGAUUUUUUUAUCAGAAUCUGGAAUUUGAUGGUCCUAUUGAAUUGGCGUUGUUGUUUUUAUGCAAAAAAGAUUGUUUAAUACUAUUUUGGUGGGAAGCUGCUUUCGGUGGGUGUUAUAUUGUGCAGAAUAAGUAAGGCUAGAUUAGUCUAAUAUACAUUUAGGUUACACCAUGGGUAUGCUGAGCUAUAGUCUACACCAUUUUAGAUAUUUCUCGGGGAAUACUGAUGACCAUUUUUUUUUAUUUGUUGUACCUUGUACUAAUUUUUAUACUUAUGUUUGUAUGGUGCAUCAGUAUCGAAGAUAGUGUAUAUAUUUAUACGCGGGGUACCCUUGUGGUAUAUAGAACUUAAUAGGACAUCUGUCGGCUUAUGGUUAGCCGGGUGUUUAAAAGAAGUUGAGCUUCAUGAUUUUUAUAAUUCCAGUGUCUGAUAGAAUGGAGAAUCUUGGAUUGAAUUUUAAAUGAAGUAUAUUAGUGCUGUAACUGGAUGAAAAAAAAAAAAUAGAACUUUGUUUUUUCGUGACACUUUACUGUUAUAUAGG